GCAAAGCAUGUGCGAAGCAUGUGCGUGCUUCAUCAAUAGAAUAUGUGAGUGGAUUAUUAUUAUUACUAUUAUGUAUUUUACAAAACAUUUAUGUUUGAUAGUAUGAUUUAGUAUAAUGUUAUGAUUAAAUGUACGUACAUUAUAUGAUUGACUGAGUCAUGAGAUGUAAUUGACAUGCACCAUAUGUGUACAUUUCUCCAUAGGCUCUACGCAUGCGUAUUGAGAGUUAAAUUACUCGACCCUUGUGAUGUUGUUAAUUCUACUGAGUAUUGAGAGGUUUUUCCCCCUUUUUACUCGUGCGAUGAUGAUCCCAGUGAGUAUUGAGAGUUAUUUUUCCUGUAUAUUAUUUGGUGCAAUUUUGUCAUGUGUGUAUAUACGAGUUCAUGUUUGCUUUUGUAAAGCGUUCAGUGUAAAGUUAUGUCAUACAAUUAUGACGAGCACUAAAGCACUAAUUUAUUUUUAUAUAUAAUUAUAUUCAUUCAUUGAGCCGCAAGCUUACUAUUUUCCUAUUUACCCCAUUUCUCUAAGGUGACUGAUUUGUCUAGAGCCACCACUGUCAUUCCAAAACCAAUCCAAUGGAAAGAUGUCCAUCUUCCAGAGGAAUGGAUUCUUGAAGGAGCCGCUCCACCAGCGAUUCCAAAACAACUUGAGCCUAAUACAAAGUUGCAAAAUGUGACUCAGUAUUCUGAUGAAAGAGUCAAAUUGUCAUUCAGAAGAUCUGCUUCAACUAGAUUUUCUGAUAAAGAGUCGUGCUCAAGUAUUCCUUCAUUAAGCCAAAUGGCAUUACAGUCCACUCAUACUGUCCGAAUGGAAUAGUAAAAGCAGUCUUAUAACGAUCAUUUGGGUGAAUUUGAAUUUGCCAAAAUCCAGACUUCAUGUCAAAUUUUGAAAAAAUAAGGGCAGAACACAGUUUUUGGAGUAAAUCUUUUUUAUUAGGUAUAGGAUACCUAAUCCAUCUCAAUGCUUUAUUUAAAGGUUUGUAAUUUAUUACAAGUCUUGGUGUUCCUCUUGAAUUAGGCCGAUGUGAAUAUAAUGAAGGAAUACUGCACGACUUACAUUUUGACCACGUUUAUGUUUAUAUGUAUAUUUUUGAAGUGUAUGUAUGUACAGUGAGAUAUGAACUAUGUAAGUUUUUAAUAAAAUUUUGAAUGAGGCACAUAGAUUAUUAUCUAUUUAUAACAAAGGGCAAGGCUAGUGUUAUAUAUUCCUAAAUUAAGUUUAUGUCAUGAGCUUUAGAUAUAAAAUUGCAUGAUUCACCCCAAAUCCAAUAGAAGGGUUGAGGCAGUUUGUGUCAUGUAUGAUAUGUACAUAUUUAUAUUCAAUAUAACCACCAUUUGAAUGAUAGUUUUUUAAAAUCAAUGCACAUGUGUCGUAGCAUGAUUCACUCGUUGUAUGACUAACAUAGUACUUUUGAUGUAUUCUAAAAUUUCUUCUUUAGUUAGAGGCAUUUGUUUUAAAAUUUUAUUUAAAAGAAGGUCAUUUUAAAUUUCAAAAUGUGAAGUGUAUUUUGUACAUCACUAAAGGAUGAAAUAGCCUUCAAUAUAGAUUUCUUAAUAAAUUUUAAGAGAACUAAUAGAAAGUGGUUAUCUCAUUCAUGGUUAUUAAAUCAAAAUUUGAAUUAGAUCAUCACUGGUCCAAAAUAAACUAUCGUCAUUUCAAAUUGAAGCAUGAAACCGUGAAUGGAUGCAUCUUUAAAUAAAAGGAUACAUUUUUAUUACAUAUGUCACUGUUUAAUUAGACAUAUCUUUACAGUCGGACACAUUUUUAGAGCACCAUUUAUAUUGUAAAUAUUCCAGCAUAAAAUAUGUCCCUCUCCUUAUACAAGUAUUUUGCAAAUAAUUUGCAAAUAAUACAGAGCCACCACGAGUUCAAAAAUAAUAAAACAAUAACAUUGCUCACUUGCUCGACUGGGCUGGAUUGGGCUGAUUGGGCUGGGCCUGCCAUAAGAAUGUGUAAGUACGAAGCUUUGCUUUCAUCAUCGCAUACACGGUGAGGGAAAUUGAAAUUGAUGAGGGCGCUGGCCGCUCAAUUCCUGCUUCGGAUUCCCCAACUCGGAAUAUAAUCUAUACCGUCGUACAAGUAUCGUCGGGACUUAGAAGAAUUACUUAGAAUUGACCGACGAUGAGCUGUUUCGCGAAUGCGAAAUGGACGCGUACAAAUCGUCGGGACCAGGCGGUCAGCACCGCGAUAAGCGCGAAUCCGCCGUACGUCUCAAGCACGUACCUACCGGCGUCAUAGCGCAUGCCGCCGAAGACCGAUCGCAGCACAAGAAUCGCGCGUCAGCUUUGUAGCGCCUCCGCACUCUUUUGGCCCUCAAUGUGAGGAGCAGUGUGAAUCUUGAUGCGUAUUCGCCGCCGCCACAGCUUCUUCAAAUCCUUCCUCCCAAGUCUACUAUUAGAAGUUCAGAAGUUGGUCCACAAAUUGGACCUAACAAUCCUAAAUUUGCUUUGGUAUUACUCUAUUCACUAUUGUUUUGUUUUUUGUUUACUGUUAAAAUUUAAGUCAUCGUAAUUUUUUUUUUUUUUGGUUAACUUCAGGGAAUGCAAGCUCUGCUUGAUCUAAUAUAUUACGAUAAGACUCAACCUGUUGGUUAAUUUAAAAUUGUUAUCUUCUUUCUUAUUUGGGCAACAAAUAUAAUAAGUCUGUUUUUUGUUGUGAGUGUCUGCGUCAGUGCCUGAUGGCUCAUUUUUAAGUAGCUUUAAAGCAUAUUUGGCUCUUUGUUUAUGAAUAAUGUUCAAUAGCAACCUGCUCCAUUGAUAAGAGAAAUGUAUGAUAUAAUUUUUCAAGAUACCAACCUGCAUUAUGAAUUGUUAUUGGAAGGAAGUACGACAAUAAAUUAAGAGCAAAGACUGAUUAAAAGAUGUAUCUUCAUUAUUACAUGAAAUGUAUGUUCUGCUUCUCAUUCACUUUACCAGAAUUACAAAAGUUUUAUGUUAUUGAUGGUUGGAUUGUUUCUGGGUUAUCCUAGUUAUUUUUUUUUUGUUUUAAUUGCUUUAGAUGCAUUGUGUGUGUAAUUUUUUAAUGGACAAUCUUCAUUUGAAACAUGAAAAUUUUAAAAAACUUUCCGAUUUGUGCAGGGUAUGAAGCCUCUUAAGUAGGACUUCUUUGGUGCUACUAUUGUGUUCGGCAAAUAUUUUCUUCUUUUAUUUUUCUUCUUUGAGUCACCAUAAUGGGGGUCAUGGUGAAACAACUUACUAAUCACUCUGGACAGGAAUGGGCUUCUAUAAGUAAAGCACACUUAUUUCACUCUUUCCUUAGUACUCAUCUAAAGGGGUUAUGGUUGCGACAUGCCUGGAUGGAAACAACCAAUUGUAUUCGUUAGCCAUUGAGGUUAUGGAUUCGGAAAACAAUGAUGCUUGGGAAUGGUUUAUGACGAAAUUACAUGGAGUAAUUGAUGAUACGCCGGAGUUGGUAUUUAUCUCAGACCGAUGCACCGCGAUCAAGAGAGCCGUUUUAAAAGUAUUUCGCUCAGCUGCCCAUGGUAUUUGUUUUUACCAUGUCAAAGACAAUGUUAAGUCAAAAUUCAAGAUGUCGAACUUUAGGUACAACUUUUCCUUUCCUUUUGAAGGCCCACUCCGCUGGCAUAGAGAGUAAAAAGAGUUUCUUAUAAAUAAUUUUAGGAGGAUGCUUCUGCCACGACAAGUAAUACCAUAAACAAAUGAUUUCACCACAUUUCAAGAAAGCAUUUAACUUAUGCCUCAUUUUCAUUCUAGCAAUUUGCUUGCCAUUGGCUGAUUGGAAAAAGUGCAUUUAAGUGAUAGAUAAUGUCAACCUAUAGCACGAAUAGGGGUUAAACAAAGUAAAUCCCUACCUUUACAUGUCAAAUAAAAGACUUUCAUAAUAUCAAAUAUCAAAACUCAUGUCUAGUAAAGGAUUCCCCAAUGCUGGCUCUCAAAAUUGCUUUUGUUUCAUGGAUGAGAUGAUCGAUUUUGUGGAUAUUCUGCUCAACUUGGAUUAUGACUUGGGUCAGAUCCCAACUUGCUGCAAAGCUCACCUGACUAAAUCUUAGUUGAUUUGCUUUUCCAAACUAAAUCCAAGCAAGUAAGUACAAGAGAUAAAAGCAAAAGUUCAAGCAUCUCAUUUGAGCCUGUCACUAACAAAUGGUCAAUGAGCAAUGUCUAGCUAUGACUGAGCAACAGAAUCAAUAAACAGACAGACAAAAAAUAAUAAUCAAGUCAUCAGUCAAAUGCUAGUCCAUGAAAAUCAUAUAUAUGUAUAUAUAUGUAUAUGUAUAUGUAUAUGUAUAUGUAUAUGUAUAUGUAUAUGUAUAUGUAUAUGUAUAUGUAUAUGUAUAUGUAUAUGUAUAUGUAUAUGUAUAUGUAUAUGUAUAUGUAUAUGUAUAUGUAUAUGUAUAUGUAUAUGUAUAUGUAUAUGUAUAUGUAUAUGUAUAUGUAUAUGUAUAUGUAUAUGUAUAUGUAUAUGUGUGUGUGUGUGUGUGUGUGUGUGUCUGUGUGUCUGUGUGUGUGUGUGUGUGUAUGUAUGUAUGUAUGUAUGUAUGUGUGUGUGUGUCUGUAUGUGUGUGUAUGUGUGUGUGUGUGUGUGUGUGUGUGUGUGUGUGUGUGUGUGUGUGUGUGUGUGUGUGUGUGUGUGUGUGUGUGUGUGUGUGUGUGUGUGUGUGUGUGUGUGUGUGUGUGUGUGUGUGUGUGUGUGUGUGUGUGUGUGUGUGUGUGUGUGUGUGUGUGUGUGUGUGUGUGUGUGUGUGAUCAUUCAUUUCUCAAUCAACCACCAAAUUGAUGUCAACCAAGCCAGGAGGAUUGUCUCACAAGUCUUUCAAUUUCCCUCUCUUUAGGCCAGAGACCAGUAAACCAUUUGAAAUAUGGAUGUGCAAACCAGUAAAUAAAUCAUGAAGUUACACACUAGUCUGCUUUCGCACUCAUUCAGAACUAUCAAUGAUACUUACUGCAGGUACGGUGUAUACAUUAUACUAAAGUGAAGGCUGGAUCAAUAAGAAAUUCAAAAUGUUUCAUCACAUUUGGGGCUUGAUGAUGCCAAAAAAAGACCAUACCAAUUAUGAUGAACAGUAAAAUGUGAACAAGAACAAGCAUACAUUUAAGAAAGCAGAGAAGCAUCAUUAAAAUAAAGCAUUCUUCUUACUAUUCUAUGUUGUUGGAACAUGGACCAAAAUAAAAAAGGAACCAUAUAUGGUUAACGUCACAACAAGAGUGUUUGUGCAUUUGUACAUCAUAGGAUAUUGGGAAGACAUCAGCAGAGAAGUGCAAAUUUUUUUUUUUUUUUGAGGAAAGGAACAAAGAAGUGCAAGUCAAAAAAGAGAAAAAAUGAAAACAGAGAGAUCAAAAGGAAUGCGAUCUAAUUAAUCGUCUAAGGAGACUACUAUGCUACAUUUAGCCAUUGGUUGAAUAGGCAGCUUGUUUUCUAGUACAACUUUAAAUUUUCCAAGAUUUAGAAUUUUC
RNAcentral lists this long non-coding RNA (5411 nucleotides) under Citrus sinensis (sweet orange). RNAcentral's name for it is "long non-coding RNA (CSIN_LNC004460)". The record is from RNAcentral. Lineage: Eukaryota; Viridiplantae; Streptophyta; Magnoliopsida; Sapindales; Rutaceae.